RNAcentral lists this long non-coding RNA (884 nucleotides) under Homo sapiens (human). Its description in RNAcentral is "long intergenic non-protein coding RNA 1012". The record is from RNAcentral. Lineage: Eukaryota; Metazoa; Chordata; Mammalia; Primates; Hominidae.
GGGCUUCCGCGAUCGCGGGGACCAACGCCCUGAGCUCUUGUGCCCAAAGGGGAUCGCCAGGUUUUUUGAUGCGGAUCGAAAGGGACUGGCCCCGGAGCCUACAACCUGACGCAGGUGGGACUUGGGGAAAUGUCGAGAAACCUAGGUCUGGGACUUGAGUUGGCUUCCAGGGCACACAUUCUUGUUCAGAAGAAACACAUUGCAAAAAUCGGGAGGUGACGGGCAGAUGAAGUGUCGGCGCUUCGCCUCGGGACUCCAGUGCAACCUAUGGGGCUUUUGGAAAUGAGGAAGUCGAUGACUCUGCAGGGACUCCUCUGACCCAGGAGCAGAUGGCGCUCGUCUGGGCACUCCCCAGGAGAAAAGGUGGACAAGGUGGAGGAGAGAGAAUUCCUUGGCAGUAGCAUUAUGAACAAAUGCAGGGCUGAGAAACAGCAUGGUGGCCUUGACUAAGUUUAUGGCGACAGCAGUUGGGGUAACAUGUGACCUGGAUCUGAUCAUUGUGAUUCAAGUCAGCGUCAUUUAGGGUUUUCGGGAAACAUUUUUUGAAAGGGAGCAACUUGGCUGGAACACUCCAUCAAUUCUUUGCCCUGUGCAUUUUUGCCCUUCUUUCUGCCUCUCAGGAAUGCAGAGAGAAUUCCUGGAGGAACAGCAGCUAUCAUACAUCCGUGAUGAAAGCCAUGGGACAAAGGCAAUUGAGCAAGAAGACAGGAGCUGGGGACAUUCUUGACAGUAGUGCCACCUCUGGAUGAUUUACCUUGGGACCUCUUAUUAAAUGAGAUAGGACUUCUUCCUGUUUAAUCCACUGGAGUGGAAUUUUCUGUUACAGUGAAUGCAGUCCUAAUUGAUGAUAUUGGCUAAUACAUAUUAGCACCUGCUAUGUCCCA